This 873-nucleotide long non-coding RNA is filed under the name Sinocyclocheilus grahami. RNAcentral's name for it is "lncRNA (ENSSGRG00000012419.1)". Lineage: Eukaryota; Metazoa; Chordata; Actinopteri; Cypriniformes; Cyprinidae. The record is from RNAcentral.
GAAAAAGACAAAAAUGUCCCUAAGGAUGCACAAACGAUGCACUCAUAUACUGUAUGUUAUGAAUGUGAUGCAAUGCAGUUUUAUCAUGAUUACUUUACAGUUGAAAUGUACAGUUUCUCAUAACAUGAUUUAAUUUUGCGCAGGAGGAGAUGUCAGAGAUGCGUGGGAAUCUGCGGCUCCUGGCGAAAGAGAGGCGGUGUUUGGACCUGACGCUGAUGGUCCAGAGUGCCCAGGAUUCUGCUGGUGCUCUGAUCCUGGACAGUCUGCGAGAUGAGCUGGGGGAGAGGAGAGCCACUCAACAGUAAAGUUUCAAGCACCUACAGAAGUUCUCGAAAGAAGCACCAGGAGCAGCUGUGGUGACUGGAGAAGCAAAUCGCAGUAAUGGGUGAACGACAUGCUAAAGAAGAGGCCGAGCUAAGUACUACACUAGAAGCUAUGGAGUGGAGGAGAGAGGAGACAAUACUCUAGACAGUGCAGUUCUUCUUGGUAUCAUUUUAUUGACAAACAUUUAUGAAAGCUAAUGAUGAACAUUGAUUUUGAGUGAGGUUGGGCAGAAACACUGAGCAUAUAGAUCAUUGACCUACAAAACUAAAAUUGCAGCACCAGGAUGCACCAUUUGUCAAUAAGGUAAUUGCUUUGCUGGCUCCUAUUGGUGUAGAUGCAGCAUCACUCAAAAGUUUGGUUACCUACCUGAUUGUAGGAAUACUCUUCAAAGGCAUAUUUUUCUCCCAUGUGAAAAAGUUUAACUGAACAUUUAUUAGCCAUUUUGACAGUUUGCUGGAAUGUACAUCAUGUAAGUAGACAAGUAGCCAAGUGCAAAGACUGCAAGUAUACCUAUUGGGAAAGACCAGCUAUUCUAGGCCUUGAUAUUAC